AUUCGGGCAAAACAUAUUAAUCAGGCAUUCGGAGGAUCAUAACAUCAACCUGAACGGAGGAAGAGAGUCUCCGGAAUUCCAGCAACAUUCUUGAUAAUGUUCUAGAGGUCACACGAAUUGGAAAGCUCAGAUUAAUUACAAGACCAAAA
This is a long non-coding RNA of Rhodamnia argentea, 149 nucleotides long. RefSeq lists it as uncharacterized. NCBI's taxonomy places the organism in Eukaryota, Viridiplantae, Streptophyta, Magnoliopsida, Myrtales, Myrtaceae. The record is from RefSeq and is a predicted model, not a curated record. The transcript is spliced from 3 exons.